AUUGAACGCUGGCGGCAUGCCUUACACAUGCAAGUCGAACGGCAGCAUAGAGAGCUUGCUCUCUGAUGGCGAGUGGCGAACGGGUGAGUAAAGCAUCGGAACGUACCGUGUAGUGGGGGAUAACGUAGCGAAAGUUACACUAAUACCGCAUACGCACUGCGGUGGAAAGCAGGGGAUCGCAAGACCUUGCGCUAUACGAGCGGCCGAUGUCAGAUUAGCAAGUUGGUAGGGUAAAGGCCUAACAAGGCGACGAUAUGUAGCGGGUCUGAGAGGAUGAUCCGCCACACUGGGACUGAGACACGGCCCAGACUCCUACGGGAGGCAGCAGUGGGUAAUUUUGGACAAUGGGGGCAACCCUGAUCCAGCCAUGCCGCGUGAGUGAAGAAGGCCUUCGGGUUGUAAAGCUCUUUCGGCCGGGAAGAAAUCGCACAGGCUAAUACUCUGUGUGGAUGACGGUACCGGCAUAAGAAGCACCGGCUAACUACGUGCCAGCAGCCGCGGUAA
RNAcentral lists this ribosomal RNA (504 nucleotides) under uncultured bacterium. RNAcentral's name for it is "partial 16S ribosomal RNA". It matches the Rfam family "Bacterial small subunit ribosomal RNA", at positions 30 to 523 of the family's 1533-position model. The record is from RNAcentral.